Long non-coding RNA from Dunckerocampus dactyliophorus (ringed pipefish), 1615 nucleotides. RefSeq lists it as uncharacterized. The record is from RefSeq and is a predicted model, not a curated record. Lineage: Eukaryota; Metazoa; Chordata; Actinopteri; Syngnathiformes; Syngnathidae. The transcript has 4 exons.
GCCAUAAAUACAACCGCAACUUCAUUAGCGUCCUUUCUCUUCCUUGUCUGCGGUAACGUACGCUCAAUGUUGUCUCUUGAAUGGUUGCCGAUUACCCUUGUGGGAAAAAUGUUACACGGUUCUGGGCCUUCAGACAAGGUUUGUUUGCCAGGUUCUGGGCCUUCAGACAAGGUUUGUUUGCCAGCCGAUUCCCCAAAAGCAGUGGCGUUUACAAGGAGCCUGACAGAAAUGAUUGAAGGACCUGCAACCUCUUUCCAUGGUGGAAGAUGACGACUUUCGGGAAUUUUGUGAAGACACUCCACCCACGGUACAAAAUUCCAAGUAGGAAAUCUUGGGAGGGGAAACUACCAGUUCUUUAUGAAGACCGUUACACUAAGGUCAGAAAGGCAUUGAGUGAUGUGGACAAUGUUUUGCUGACAAUGGACAUGUGGACAUCAAGAGCCACAGAGGUAUAUUUAACAGUCACAUGAUCAAUAAAAACUUACAAAUGCUGGCAGACGUGCUAGAAACAUGCUCUGUUCCCCAACAGCACACUGCAGACUAUUUGUUUGCAGUUAACCAGAAUUGAAGAAUGGGGCAAAAAGAUCCUAUUGGUCAUCAGUGACAAUGGUGCCAACAUGGUUGCUGCUGUGCAUAAAGCAUUUUGGGCACACUAGCCAUGUUUUGCACACACUAAAUUUAUUUUAAAUUCAGCAGAAAAGCAGCGCUAUAGUUGCUUUCUUCCACCACUGCAGAAAAGCUUCAGGAAAAACAAAUUCAGAAGCAGAAUUUCCCUGAGCAUAAACUGCUUAGGGCAGUUGAAACCAGGUGGAACUGUCUUCCUGUCUGAACAAAAAAGGCCAUUACUGUCUCCUUGGAAAGAGCUCACUUUAAACGAGGAACAAUGGACUGUCAUCCACGCCAAGGUACCAAGCUGGCUGCUGAGCUGUUGGCACAGUGUUAGUCGUUUCAGGGCUGUUGAAACUGUAUGUUCUUGCUGUCAGCACCUACCUGGACAUUCAAGUUAAAAAAAAAAAAAAAAAAAGUUUGGGGGCUUCCGUGACACUGGAAAUGUUGAUCCUGUAAAAGCUCGACUUAUUACAGAAAUGCAGUCAGUGACUCAGACCUCAACACCUUCAUUUGGAUCAAGUGCUGCCCCACUUCCUGCAGCUAUGUCGAGCUCACCUGCAGCAACAGGUGGUAUAUGGAAAGAAUUUGACUGUCCUUACAUUUCGGCUGCAUUGAACAACAAGCACAGAUGUACGAAUUGAAAUGCACAGGUACUUUGAAGAAGUUGCAACAUCAGUCAGUGCUUGCAAUGUUUGAGAAUUUUUUUUCAAAGGCAGGACAGCUACUAAGUCACAGUUGAUGUGCAUUAAAAGGUCAAAAAUGUGAGGAUACUGUUCCUGGGGGAAAAAACCUAACCGAAUCCUGUGUCCUGCACAGGGGGACAGGGACUCAAGGGUUUGGAGGUUGAUUAUUUCCUUUUUUUUCCCUUUUUUUUUGGUAUUUUCACUAAUUGUAAUUAUUUUUUCAAAUCCAGAAAAGACGCACACUAAAGGGGAAAUGUGUAUUUUUGCACUGUAUUAUAUUUCCAUACUAAAAAUAAAUAAAUCCAUACUACUUGAACAAAGAA